Molecule: long non-coding RNA, 204 nt
Organism: Sardina pilchardus (European sardine)
Lineage: Eukaryota; Metazoa; Chordata; Actinopteri; Clupeiformes; Clupeidae
Exons: 3
Source: RefSeq, a predicted model, not a curated record
GGAAUGUCAGCGGCGAGCUACUGGACAGGACCUCUUUUGCAUGUAUGAGGAGGCCAAAUCAAUGCAACAUGAGGAGUGUCACAGAGGUCUGCAAGUCAUCCUGGGCACCUUGCUCCUUCCAUACCUGUUCAGAGAGAACCCCAAAGCACUUUAUGUGAUCAAUAGAAAGGAUCCAGAGGUUCCAACGCCGGUACUGGUCAUUAC